This 425-nucleotide ribosomal RNA is filed under the name uncultured Pseudomonas sp. Its description in RNAcentral is "bacterial SSU rRNA". It matches the Rfam family "Bacterial small subunit ribosomal RNA", at positions 957 to 1382 of the family's 1533-position model. The record is from RNAcentral. Lineage: Bacteria; Pseudomonadati; Pseudomonadota; Gammaproteobacteria; Pseudomonadales; Pseudomonadaceae.
CAACGCGAAGAACCUUACCAGGCCUUGACAUGCAGAGAACUUUCCAGAGAUGGAUUGGUGCCUUCGGGAACUCUGACACAGGUGCUGCAUGGCUGUCGUCAGCUCGUGUCGUGAGAUGUUGGGUUAAGUCCCGUAACGAGCGCAACCCUUGCCUUAGUUACCAGCACGUUAUGGUGGGCACUCUAAGGAGACUGCCGGUGACAAACCGGAGGAAGGUGGGGAUGAUGUCAAGUCAUCAUGGCCCUUACGGCCUGGGCUACACACGUGCUACAAUGGUCGAUACAAAGGGUUGCCAAGCCGCGAGGUGGAGCUAAUCCCAUAAAACCGAUCGUAGUCCGGAUCGCAGUCUGCAACUCGACUGCGUGAAGUCGGAAUCGCUAGUAAUCGUGAAUCAGAAUGUCACGGUGAAUACGUUCCCGGGCCUU